UACGGAAGGCAGCAGUAGGGAAUCUUCCGCAAUGGACGAAAGUCUGACGGAGCAACGCCGCGUGAACGAUGAAGGCUUUCGGGUCGUAAAGUUCUGUUGUUAGGGAGAACAAGUACCAGAGUAACUGCUGGUACCUUGACGGUACCUAACCAGAAAGCCACGGCUAACUACGUGCCAGCAGCCGCGGUAAUACGUAGGUGGCAAGCGUUGUCCGGAAUUAUUGGGCGUAAAGCGCGCGCAGGUGGUUCUUUAAGUCUGAUGUGAAAGCCCACGGCUCAACCGUGGAGGGUCAUUGGAAACUGGGGAACUUGAGUGCAGAAGAGGAAAGUGGAAUUCCACGUGUAGCGGUGAAAUGCGUAGAGAUGUGGAGGAACACCAGUGGCGAAGGCGACUUUUCUGGUCUGUAACUGACACUGAGGCGCGAAAGCGUGGGGAGCGAACAGGGAUUAGAUACC
This 455-nucleotide ribosomal RNA is filed under the name uncultured bacterium. RNAcentral describes it as "bacterial SSU rRNA". It matches the Rfam family "Bacterial small subunit ribosomal RNA", at positions 340 to 786 of the family's 1533-position model. The record is from RNAcentral.